CUCUUUCUCAUCUUUCCUCUCUCUUUCCUGCUCUUUUUUCUCUUUCCCUCUCUCUCUCUCUCAGAUAAAGCUAACUAAGCUAAACUGAAAGUGAGUAUAAGUAAGUAAGUAAGUAAGUGAGUGAGAGAGGGAGGGAGGGAGUGAGGGAGUAAGGG
Molecule: non-coding RNA, 155 nt
Organism: Brugia malayi
Lineage: Eukaryota; Metazoa; Nematoda; Chromadorea; Rhabditida; Onchocercidae
Source: RefSeq, a predicted model, not a curated record